Molecule: long non-coding RNA, 135 nt
Filed under: Chinchilla lanigera (long-tailed chinchilla)
Lineage: Eukaryota; Metazoa; Chordata; Mammalia; Rodentia; Chinchillidae
Description: lncRNA (ENSCLAG00000024613.1)
Source: RNAcentral
GAAGAGCGGAGCCUGUGACACUGGGAUCUUAACUCCCUGUCUCCUGCUGCCUCCUGCCUGCUCUGGACCUCAGCCUUUUCCCACUGCUGCUCGAGCAACUGGACUCACAGAGGGGUCUUUCAAAAACCUGAGCCC